GACGGCUUAGCAAAGUGGUUACUGCGAUUGAUUCGAAACAACCGCAGGUUGCUUACAUCAUCAAUUCCUCUCUGAGGGCGUAGGUUCGAGUCCUACAGUCGUCG
Molecule: non-coding RNA, 104 nt
Organism: Ceratobasidium sp. 392
Lineage: Eukaryota; Fungi; Basidiomycota; Agaricomycetes; Cantharellales; Ceratobasidiaceae
Source: the annotation of a GenBank genome assembly